UGGUUGCAACAGAGGAGGAUGGCGAGGCUAAUGUAAGGCUAACUGUGGAAUAGGAUGUUCUAAAAGAUUAUUUGCAUUUAGUGAGGUAAACGUCCACACAUUUAGCUCUGCAUUGAAGCAGUUUGCACAUCCGGGCACUUCUAAUUCAGUAAUGACAACCAGAG
Long non-coding RNA from Thalassophryne amazonica, 164 nucleotides. RefSeq lists it as uncharacterized. The transcript is spliced from 3 exons. The record is from RefSeq and is a predicted model, not a curated record. NCBI's taxonomy places the organism in Eukaryota, Metazoa, Chordata, Actinopteri, Batrachoidiformes, Batrachoididae.